This 824-nucleotide ribosomal RNA is filed under the name Legionella pneumophila. RNAcentral describes it as "partial 23S ribosomal RNA". It matches the Rfam family "Bacterial large subunit ribosomal RNA", at positions 1 to 872 of the family's 2925-position model. Lineage: Bacteria; Pseudomonadati; Pseudomonadota; Gammaproteobacteria; Legionellales; Legionellaceae. The record is from RNAcentral.
AGAGAAGCGCAAACGGUGGAUGCCUUGGCAGUAAGAGGCGAAGAAGGACGUGGAAUCCUGCGAAAAGCUAUGGGGAGCUGGAAACGAGCGUUGAGCCAUAGAUGUCCGAAUGGGGGAACCCGGCUGCAGCGAUGCGGUCAUUUGCAUUUGAAUACAUAGGAUGCAAAGGCGAACUCGGGGAACUGAAACAUCUAAGUACCCGAAGGAAAAGAAAUCAAGAGAGAUUCUCCAAGUAGCGGCGAGCGAACGGGGAGGAGCCUGGCGUGAUUUAUUAUUGAACUGAGUAGAACAAUUUGGGAAAGUUGGCGAUAGAGGGUGAAAGCCCCGUAUACGAAGGUUUGAUGAGGAACUAGGCACGCGAACAAGUAGGCCGGGACACGUGAAAUCCUGGUUGAAGAUGGGUGGACCAUCAUCCAAGGCUAAAUACUACUUACUGACCGAUAGUGAACCAGUACCGUGAGGGAAAGGUGAAAAGAACCCCGGAGAGGGGAGUGAAAUAGAAUCUGAAACCGUUUGCGUACAAGCAGUGGGAGCAUGGUUUAGGCUGUGUGACUGCGUACCUUUUGUAUAAUGGGUCAGCGAGUUACUUUCAGUGGCGAGGUUAACUGAAUAAGGGAGCCGUAGAGAAAUCGAGUCUGAAUAGGGCGAUAGUCGCUGGGAGUAGACCCGAAACCGGGCGAUCUAGCCAUGUGCAGGAUGAAGGUUGGGUAACACCAACUGGAGGUCCGAACCGGGUAAUGUUGAAAAAUUAUCGGAUGACGUGUGGCUAGGAGUGAAAGGCUAAUCAAGCCCGGAGAUAGCUGGUUCUCCCCGAAAGCUAUUUA